This 278-nucleotide ribosomal RNA is filed under the name uncultured bacterium. RNAcentral's name for it is "partial 16S ribosomal RNA". It matches the Rfam family "Bacterial small subunit ribosomal RNA", at positions 356 to 626 of the family's 1533-position model. The record is from RNAcentral.
AGGGAAUCUUCGGCAAUGGACGAAAGUCUGACCGAGCAACGCCGCGUGAGUGAAGAAGGUUUUCGGAUCGUAAAACUCUGUUGGUAGAGAAGAACGUUGGUGAGAGUGGAAAGCUCAUCAAGUGACGGUAACUACCCAGAAAGGGACGGCUAACUACGUGCCAGCAGCCGCGGUAAUACGUAGGUCCCGAGCGUUGUCCGGAUUUAUUGGGCGUAAAGCGAGCGCAGGUGGUUUAUUAAGUCUGGUGUAAAAGGCAGUGGCUCAACCAUUGUAUGCAU